This 76-nucleotide transfer RNA is filed under the name Streptantibioticus ferralitis. RNAcentral describes it as "tRNA-Arg". It matches the Rfam family "tRNA". Rfam says of the family: Transfer RNA (tRNA) molecules are approximately 80 nucleotides in length. Their secondary structure includes four short double-helical elements and three loops (D, anti-codon, and T loops). The record is from RNAcentral. RNAcentral also lists the same sequence under 1 other name. Lineage: Bacteria; Bacillati; Actinomycetota; Actinomycetes; Kitasatosporales; Streptomycetaceae.
GCCUCCAUAGCUCAGGGGAUAGAGCACCGCUCUCCUAAAGCGGGUGUCGCAGGUUCGAAUCCUGCUGGGGGCACCA